Molecule: non-coding RNA, 3089 nt
Organism: Procambarus clarkii (red swamp crayfish)
Lineage: Eukaryota; Metazoa; Arthropoda; Malacostraca; Decapoda; Cambaridae
Source: RefSeq, a predicted model, not a curated record
CAAAGUUGGCCCAAGUUGUGUCCCUGGUGUGUAGUAAGUUAAGGUAAGUAGUGUCCGUGGUACACAGUGUGUAGUAAGUCAAGGUAAGUAGUGUCCGUGGUACACAGUGUGUAGUAAGUUAAGGUAAGUAGUGUCCGUGGUACAGAGUGUGUAGUAAGUGUAGUAGGGUGGAGGGAAGCAUGUGGGUGAGUGUAGAGGUGUAGUGUACUAACCAGACUCGUGUAUCUCCCCCGCUGUAGGAUGUGGUGGGUGCGUCAGGCGUGGCGUGUGCUGGUGGUGCUUGUGGCUUGGCGCCUGGUGAUGCUCAAGAGUAGUGCUGCCAGAAGAGCCUGGUACGGCCUCUUCAGGCUCCUGGUGAGACUCCUCACCUACCUGCCGCUCCUCAACAGGAUAUGAGGCACGCUGCUCUCUAGCACCCAUCUCCACCUUAACAUCGUCGUCCUUACGUGUUGGUCGUGCUUCUACACUGGCGGCGGCACCACUGCUGCCUACUUCUGUAGCCACUCUCCACUCUGCAGCCCAGACUCAUCUUAAAUGUGGCCUUCAGAGUAUUGUUAUUAGCAGCAGCAGCAGCAGCAGCUACAGCAGACAGCAGCAGCAGGAGCAGCAGACAGCAGCAGGAGCAGCAUGCGCUAUCGCCAGAUUGUGAUUAGUAGUAGAGUAGAGUGUUGCGGGAGGGUGGUGCAGACGCCAUAUACCAGAGGCAGCCACACUACUAAACAUGCCCCUAAACUGGCCCUCAACUCAACGUGUGUGUUAUGAUGCCACCAGCAAUAACAUCCUCAGCCAGCGAGUCUGCCACUCAUCACACUGUGUCAUGGUGUCACAGUGUGAUGUCCCUGGGUCGUGCCAUGACUGGCCUUGUGUCAGGUGUCAUGGUGUCGCCCCCAUGUUAGUGGCAUGACUCAGUCCUCAGUAGAGGAGUGUAGUGGUGAGCAAGAAGCCUGAUCUACGUAGCCGGACUCCACAUAUUGUCGAGUCUAAAUACCUACUUUGAUCACUUUGCAGAUCACUGCUAAAAUGUAGAUUAUAAACUAGCCAGAUUUUAGGAAAAUAACAACAUAUAUAUAUAUAUAUAUAUAUAUAUAUAUAUAUAUAUAUAUAUAUAUAUAUAUAUGUGGGUGUGUGUGUGGGUGGGAGGGGAUAGAAGAGAGGCGAGUUGUAGUGUAGGGAGAGAGUGUAGUAGGGGAGGCGCGUGUAGUAUAGGGCAGGGUGAGCCCCCCACGUCACGUGACCACACUGUGUUGAGCCGGGGGGGGGCAGCUUCACCCUCACCUCACUCACUUUCCUCUCAAAAUGAACCUUAAUAAUCAACAUUUCUCACUAACUACCCGUAAGAUUCUUCUCUUAAUUAGUGGUCCUCUGACUAAACUCAGUUUGGAAUGUGGCUGAGAUUUAUCGCCUUUAUUAUGCAAGUAUUUAAGGGUGAGUGAUUACCAGUUGAUAAUGUUCGUACAAGUUAAUGCCGCACAAAGGAUGAAGACGUGGCCAGGCUGGUGAGAGUGCCUGCCUCAGGGAGGAGCUGGUGUCCACCUCCCAAGGUCUUCACACUCACACAAGACACAUGGCCUCUUGAAGGAUACAUAAAUUAAGAAGAAAAACCUCUUAGUUUUGAAUAAAUUUAAGUUAAUGGGGAUAAAACAAAGUUUCGUUAACAAUUCAAGACAUUAACCUGAAACUAUCGUUGAUAUCACUGUUAAGAGACCAGCAAACGUGUAUUUUAUUUUUGUCGGUUAUUUUAUUAUUGGAAUACAUUAGUUAUCUGUUUUUUAAUUUAAUUUGUAUGUUUAAUAGUUUUUGUUACGAGGAAUGCUUGAAGUUUGAGAUGGAAUAAUGUGACAUUCCGCGAGCCUCACAUUCUUGGCAAGAUGUCUUCCGUCAGUCACCAGCACACAGCACCUCUCACCACUCACCUCUCACCACUCACCUCUCACCACUCACCUCUCACCACUCACCUCUCACCACUCACCUCUCACACUCUACCAGUUUGUUGAGAGCAACAAGUUGCAAUCCUUAUUUUGUAUAAUCUUUGCCUCUCUAACUUGAGUAUUUAGAUGAAAACCUCCAACCUCUGCAAUAUUAAUAAUGUAAUUACUAUCCUCUGGCAUAUAUAUAUAUAUAUAUAUAUAUAUAUAUAUAUAUAUAUAUAUAUAUAUAUAUAUAUAUAUAUAUAUAUAUAUAUAUAUAUAUAUAAAUUAUUGUUUAUAGUGCACAAGAAAACUACAAAUUGAGUGUUUGAAAUUGACAAGGCGGUAACGAGUAGUUUAUCCUUAAAACAGCCCUAAUGAGGGAAGUCACAGUCUUGUCCACCCACACUGAUACAAGCCAGGUCAUUGACAGUGUCACUGAUACAAGCCAGGUCAUUGACAGUGUCACUGAUACAAGCCAGGUCAUUGACAGUGUCACUGAUACAAGCCAGGUCAUUGACAGUGUCACUGAUACAAGCCAGGUCAUUGACAGUGUAUCUCUCAACCUGCACACACUACUACUCAAUUUACCUUGGAUAAUACUAAUGUUAUACUGUAUCUGUAUUUGUAAUUGAUUUUUUAUGUAAAACUUUGUAAUUAUUUCUAAUUGUUGCUUACAAUGUAUUAUUCAUAUACAGGUACAAUUAAUUGUUUAAAUUUAGUAUAUAAAUUCAGUUUUAUGUUUUGUCUUGACGAAUGCUUAGUAUCUGAGGUUGGUUGAAGAAAUGAAUCUAAACAUUACAAGGAUGAUGGCACCUUGAUGGCACUCUUAACAACUAUGACGUAAAGAUUGAUUAGCAAGUAAAGCUUGCUGAGAAGUUAAAGGCUCAUUAUAGUAUAACUUAAUUUUCUAAACUGCUUCAAACAUGAUAAAGCUUCAGACAGUUUACAGUUUAUAUUUAUGGAAACUAUUUAAUGGGAAGAGAGUGUGCGGGAUGACUUGGUGUACAUGCCCAGUGGUCGGGAGGGAGGGAGGGAGGGAGGCUGUUCACUCCUUCAGGCCGGCAUCCCUACACUUGCUUCUCUUCUUUAUCCAUUGCUUCCUUGUACAUUUCCUCUCUCUCUCUCUCUCUCUCUCUCUCUCUCUCUCUCUCUCUCUCUCUCUCUCUCUCUCUCUCUCUC